This 367-nucleotide long non-coding RNA is filed under the name Oryza sativa Indica Group (long-grained rice). RNAcentral describes it as "lncRNA OsMH63_03G036720". The record is from RNAcentral. Lineage: Eukaryota; Viridiplantae; Streptophyta; Magnoliopsida; Poales; Poaceae.
AUGGCCGGUGGGGGCUCGGCAGCUGGCGGGGUAGGCGGGUGCGCGGCCGCGCUGGGAGGCAGGCGGCAGCUAGCCGGCCAGGGCCAGGCAGCGGCGCGGCGGCGUGGGCGUGCUGCGGUGCGGCCGCGGGAGGCAGGCGGCCAGCGCAGCAGGGCAGCCGGCAACAAGCAUUAUUGGACCUGGGGCUCUCGUAGUGCAUGCCCAAGUACUCAUGGAAGCCAAAAUGUUGCAGUAGAGAUGGAGGAGGAGGAGGGGCAGAUGGAGGAGCAUGUUGUCCAAGAGCUUGGGGAAGAACGUGUUGAAGAGAAUUUUGAAGGUAUAACUGAGUUCAACCCAGAUUACAUUGGCUGUAUUUAGAUCCAAAGUU